CCUUUGGAGCUACCUUAUUCAAACAUGGUAAGGAAUCCAGACUCUGCACGCAGGACAGCCCACUGUACAGGCCCAACCCAACCGAACUCACCGCCUGAUCUGAGCUUCGGCCCAAGAGACUCGAAGACCUGAUCCCGAACAUCAUACACCACAAUAGGGAUCCGACCUAAAGGACUCGGACAUCGAACCCGAACACCUUCAGCAUCUCCGAGGGCCUCAUCGUAUACGUUCGACAUAUAACACAAAAUUUUCUACUCAAAUAAUCAUGUAAUCAAAAUAUUGGAUUUGAAACUUGGUUUACUAUGUUAACCAAUAUUUAGAUAAAUAUCUGCUACUUUUAUAACAACUUACUUCAUUAAUCCAACUUGUGACACUCAUGGUACUUCCAGCCAUAGCACCUCACAUUAAUAGAACUUAACAUACCAUAGCACAUAUUGCUUUAAACAUCAGCUAUCCCUUUGUGACUACAACAGUCGGGAUUUAAAAUCUUGACCAACAUAAAAGUUGAAAAUAGUUCAUUACUUAUCACACAUAUUACAUAACAUAACCCAUACUACUUAUCUACCAAGCCUUUCUUCUCGGACAUUCAUUCGCUNNNNN
RNAcentral lists this long non-coding RNA (600 nucleotides) under Panax ginseng (ginseng). RNAcentral describes it as "long non-coding RNA (PGIN_LNC011524)". Lineage: Eukaryota; Viridiplantae; Streptophyta; Magnoliopsida; Apiales; Araliaceae. The record is from RNAcentral.